UGAGGAAUUUUGCGCAAUGGGGGAAACCCUGACGCAGCAACGCCGUGUGAGUGAUGAAGGCCUUCGGGUCGUAAAGCUCUGUCGAGUGGGAAGAACCCAUACCCGUAUAACAAGCGGGUGUGCUGACGGUACCACUGAAGGAAGCACCGGCUAACUCCGUGCCAGCAGCCGCGGUAAUACGGAGGGUGCGAGCGUUAUUCGGAAUUAUUGGGCGUAAAGGGCACGUAGGCGGCCGUGUGAGUCAGCUGUGAAAGCCCGGGGCUUAACCCCGGAAGUGCAGUUGAUACUGCGCGGCUUGAGUAUGGGAGAGGGAAGUGGAAUUCCUGGUGUAGCGGUGAAAUGCGUAGAUAUCAGGAGGAACACCGGUGGCGAAGGCGACUUCCUGGACCAAUACUGACGCUGAGGUGCGAAGGCGUGGGGAGCAAACA
RNAcentral lists this ribosomal RNA (428 nucleotides) under uncultured bacterium. RNAcentral's name for it is "bacterial SSU rRNA". It matches the Rfam family "Bacterial small subunit ribosomal RNA", at positions 355 to 774 of the family's 1533-position model. The record is from RNAcentral.